Molecule: ribosomal RNA, 301 nt
Filed under: uncultured bacterium
Lineage: Bacteria
Description: partial 16S ribosomal RNA
Rfam family: Bacterial small subunit ribosomal RNA
Source: RNAcentral
CAGUAGCCACGGGAAUAUGAAGGGUGCAAGCGUUAAUCGGAAUUACUGGGCGUAAAGCGUGCGUAGGCGGUGAGUUAAGUCUGCUGUGAAAUCCCCGGGCUCAACCUGGGAAUGGCAGUGGAUACUGGCUCGCUAGAGUGUGUCAGAGGAUGGUGGAAUUCCCGGUGUAGCGGUGAAAUGCGUAGAGAUCGGGAGGAACAUCAGUGGCGAAGGCGGCCAUCUGGGACAACACUGACGCUGAGGCACGAAAGCGUGGGGAGCAAACAGGAUUAGAUACCCGCGUAGUCCCUGUCUCUUAUAC